This 254-nucleotide ribosomal RNA is filed under the name uncultured bacterium. Its description in RNAcentral is "partial 16S ribosomal RNA". It matches the Rfam family "Bacterial small subunit ribosomal RNA", at positions 524 to 776 of the family's 1533-position model. The record is from RNAcentral.
GACGAACCGUGCGAACGUUAUUCGGAAUCACUGGGCUUAAAGCGCGUGUAGGCGGGCCGCCGCGUCGGCUGCUGAAAUCCCCCGGCUCAACCGGGGAACGGGCACCGAUACGGGCGGCCUCGAGGGGGGUAGGGGGGCCUGGAACUUCCGGUGGAGCGGUGAAAUGCGUUGAGAUCGGAAAGAACACCAACGCCGAAAGCACUCUGCUGGGCCGACACUGACUCUGAGAGACGAAAGCUAGGGGAGCAAAUGGG